CAGGCAGUGCUGAAGGCCCGGGGAGGUUGGAGGAACAGAUUUCUCCAGCUGCCUUGACCUGAAUCAACAAAUUUAAAAGAAGAAAGAAACAGCCAUCUCAAAGUAGAUUUGCCCUGAGCUAACAUCUGUGCCAAUCCUCCUGCAUUUUGCAUGUGGGAUGCUACCACAGCAUAGCCUGAUGAGCAGUGCAUAGGUCCAUGCCCAGGAUCUGAACCCACGAACCCUGGACAACCAAAGUGGAGUGCAUGAACCCAACCACUACGCCACUGGGCCACCCCUGUAGGAAGAAACUGAUUCUCAGAGGCAUUGUAUAGAGUGCCCUAGAUCUCACCACUAGUAAAUGGAAGAAGUGGGGCUCCACCCGAAAUCUGUCUGAUUCAAAAACUCAACUCUGCCACAAUCCGGUCUUAAUAACGCAGCGUGGAUCAUGAAAACGGAAUAGAUUUGCAAAGGACAACUUACCGUGACACUUUUCUCCUGCCUUAAGUGAUCAAAAUAUUUCCAACUCAGAAUAGAGAAAGGAGAUGUCUAUGCUGUGUCUAACACUAAAUACAGACAUAUUUAUAAAACUGUCAAUGGGAAGGGGUCCUUGAAUCUGAUGACCCAUAGUCAUUAGUCAGACCCUUAAAAUUUGCAAAGAAAACAAGUGCACAGAUUCCCAUUAAUGAGUGCGUUCUGUAGGAAGACAUGAAAGAAUGUGAGAUAGCAUUUAUAUCUCAGACUCUGUGGACUAUAUACUGAAACUGGCAAGGGCUCUACGCUUUACAGAAAUCUGAUGAGCUGGGUAGUAUCAGUUGGGGCAGCAAAG
This 808-nucleotide long non-coding RNA is filed under the name Equus caballus (horse). RNAcentral's name for it is "lncRNA (ENSECAG00000047971.1)". The record is from RNAcentral. Lineage: Eukaryota; Metazoa; Chordata; Mammalia; Perissodactyla; Equidae.